UACGAAGGGGGCUAGCGUUGUUCGGAAUUACUGGGCGUAAAGCGCGCGCAGGCGGUUCUUUACGUCAGGGGUGAAAGCCCAGAGCUCAACUCUGGAAUUGCCUUUGAAACUAGAGAACUUGGGUACGGGAGAGGUGAGUGGAAUUCCGAGUGUAGAGGUGAAAUUCGUAGAUAUUCGGAAGAACACCAGUGGCGAAGGCGGCUCACUGGCCCGUUACCGACGCUCAGGCGCGACAGCGUGGGGAGCAAACAGG
RNAcentral lists this ribosomal RNA (253 nucleotides) under uncultured bacterium. RNAcentral's name for it is "partial 16S ribosomal RNA". It matches the Rfam family "Bacterial small subunit ribosomal RNA", at positions 524 to 776 of the family's 1533-position model. The record is from RNAcentral.